AAAAGAAAAAGGUGCGAUCGCAGAUAAGAGAGAGAAAGAGCGCCGUGUGGUUCUACAAAACUGUUUGAUUCAUAAGUUCAGGGAUUCUAUUGCAAAUUGAAAAUCUCGCCGGCGAAUCUUUCUUUUGAUAUCGCCGGGGAGUUGACCGGUGGUUUUGAUCGGAAAAAAGCUGGAGAUUUUCUGUCGGAGGUGAACAGAAGUAACUAAUAUAAGGAUGGUGAAUUCAAUGGUGGAAAGAGCAACGAGCGAUAUGCUCAUAGGUCCUGAUUGGGCUAUGAAUCUCGAGAUCUGCGAUAUUUGCAAUCACGAUCCCGCGCAAGCCAAAGAUGUCGUGAAGGGAAUAAAAAGACGUCUUGGUAGUAAGAAUCCCAAAGUUCAACUUCUUGCUCUGACACUGUUGGAAACAAUUGUCAAGAAUUGUGGGGAUAUUGUCCAUAUGCAUGUUGCUGAGAAAGAUCUUCUUCAUGAGAUGGUGAAAAUUGUAAAAAAGAAGCAACCUGACUUGCAUGUCAAGGAAAAAGUACUAAUUUUGAUAGACACGUGGCAAGAA
Molecule: unclassified non-coding RNA, 550 nt
Filed under: Hevea brasiliensis (rubber tree)
Lineage: Eukaryota; Viridiplantae; Streptophyta; Magnoliopsida; Malpighiales; Euphorbiaceae
Source: RNAcentral